GCCUCCUUGCCUUUGUUUUUAGCCAGGUGUUGCCCAUUUGGUCUUGUAUACUUGACUGAACUAACAAUUACAUUUCUCACAUGUGCUGUUGUUUGUUACUGACUUCUGGAGUGGCUUCAGUUCUGAGUUAGCAGGGUGUCUGGGGACCACAAUUUCCAGAGUUCCUUCAGUCUCUGUCAGAACAUUUUUCAGGUCAUAGCAGAAGGACAGCAUGGUGUGCCUGUCUCUAUCACCACAUUGGCUCUACCUCUCAAGGACUCAGUUGCAGAUGAUGUCCUCAAGCCAGGUCCUUGGAAGUCAACUCUGCGGAAAGAAAAGACACAAUUGAGAAAACUUCUAAAAGCUUCUAGGCUAACGGACCACAGCUUUCUCCCAUAUUUCUUCUCUUCCUGUGUCCUUCUUUGGUUUUUGGUGUUUAAAAAAUCUGCUUCCAGUCUACAUGAAUAGGCCUUUGCUGGGAACAAGGAAAGAAAGAAGGAAGAAAGGAAGGAAGGGAGGGAGGGAAGGUGGGAGAAGGGCUACUGAGAUCUUUACAUGGGUAAAGCAUUUGAUUUCCUCCAAAAAUGACUAUUUACUAACAUUAAAAAAAAUAAUCCAAGUUACCAGGAAAAUAUGGGGGGGGGGGAAGCUAUUUCCCCAUGCCAGGGAAAAAAUAUUUUAAGAAAGGCCUCUAUAAAAUAAUAUCCUUUAAUCAUUCUUAAUUUUAGUCAUUCCCAUGCCAUCUUUAGCAUUUUUGCCAUACCUAUUAUUUACUUACUAGUAGUUUAAAUUGCUUGUUAGGUUUACACAAAUUUUAAUUAAAAGGAAAUGUUACAUAAAUAAAAAACCGAUAUCAUUUUCCUUAAACAGAAGAUAAUAUUACUAGUCAACAGUGAACACAUCCCAUUGAAUUCUAAUCAGUUAAAUAGGACCUGCUGUGGGCUCUGAGCCUGAGGUCUAAUCUUGUUAUUUAAAAGGGAUAUUAGCAAGAAUUAGAGAGGACGUAAAGCCAUACUAGCUCCAAACUGGUAGGUUCUCCUCGAUUUACCCUUAAGGAGUAGAACAGACUUAAAAAAGAAAUACCUUUCCAAUUAUGAUUUGUAACUUGUUCAAUUUUGUGCCUAUGUAUCAGUCGUGGCAUCUGUCCCACUCUGAUCCAGCCCCAAGACAGGACUCUUAAGGACUGUGAAUUUCAAGUUAGAAAUGAAAGGAAAAAAUUCUAGAGCUUUCUGGUGAAGAAGGCCUCACCUUACAUUAGGGCUAGGCCCAGUUGGACAGAAGAUCCAGAGAGAGAAGGGGCACUCUCAUUCUUUCGUGUCUAUUAUUGCAGCUGUUCCUGAGCAAAUUGGAGACUCUCUGGAGAAGGACUGGGUAAGAAAUUUGGAACAUGGUGAAUGCAGCAUUCUACUUAACACAGGGAAACAUACUAUGUAUAUAUUAAACAUGGGUUCUUCCAGAGAAAAUUGUCAGGAUAGCUCUGUGGGAAGUCCUUUGUGUUGACUUGUAUGUUAUUAAGGUGAAACCGUUUUUCCCUCCUGAAAAUCCACAAAAAUCAGCUGGUUAAAAUACAGACCAUGUUCUAGAAGGAAUUUCAUGGGGAUGUAAAAUACUGGGACAACCAGAAAUCCCACGUUUUAGAUGUCUAGGCAUUUGACUCAUUCUUGUCAAGUGUCGGACACCAAUAAAUAAAAUCCUGGCUGACUGAAUGUGUAACCUUGUAAAUUGAAGUGCCCUUUACUCUGAAGAUCCGCAGUUCUUAUUUUGUUUGCCAUUUUAAGAAAUUGAGAAUCCCCCGAGUUUCAGAUCUCUAGAUAAAGUCCAUGGGGCAACCCAGGUUCUGGCUUUCACACUAUAAAUGUUAAAUUUAUAACAACUUUAUGUCAUGGGUGAGUCUAUGAAUAAAAGAAUUUGGGGAUUCUGAAUUUAUGAAUGAACAGGCAGCUUUGAACUCCUUAUGGGAGCAUGUACCAUAUGCCAUUCAAAGGUAAUUUCCCUUAGAUUUACAUUUCAUUUACUCGUCUUGUGCCUCUAAUUCCAAGUGCUGUGUCAGGCCUUGAAAGGAAAUAUAACAGUGAAUAGCAGUCCAGAGAAAGAACGAUAAAGCUGACAAACGGCAGCCUUCGCCCUAAAUCACAGGUUCCGUGGAGAGAAGUGGACCGUUAGAGCCUACACGUUGGAAAAAGAAAUGUAAAAGGAGAAAAAGGGAACAACAUUAAGAAACUUGCCAUGACUCCGUGAGACAGAAAAACAAAAUCACAUGGAAACCUGGCAUAAAAAAAGUGUCUGAUUUCGUGAAGCAAAAUCCUUAAUAAAUGUGCUAAAUGAAAAAAAAAAAAAAAAAAAAGAAUGAAAA
Long non-coding RNA from Loxodonta africana (African savanna elephant), 2332 nucleotides. RefSeq lists it as uncharacterized. The transcript is spliced from 2 exons. NCBI's taxonomy places the organism in Eukaryota, Metazoa, Chordata, Mammalia, Proboscidea, Elephantidae. The record is from RefSeq and is a predicted model, not a curated record.